RNAcentral lists this transfer RNA (72 nucleotides) under Sinotaia quadrata. RNAcentral's name for it is "tRNA-Leu". The record is from RNAcentral. Lineage: Eukaryota; Metazoa; Mollusca; Gastropoda; Architaenioglossa; Viviparidae.
AUAAGGGUAGCAGAAUAAUAUGUAUUAGAUUUAGGUUCUAAAGGUUGAAUAGUCUAAACUUGUUCUCUUAUA